This 501-nucleotide ribosomal RNA is filed under the name uncultured bacterium. RNAcentral describes it as "partial 16S ribosomal RNA". It matches the Rfam family "Bacterial small subunit ribosomal RNA", at positions 30 to 523 of the family's 1533-position model. The record is from RNAcentral.
AUUGAACGCUGGCGGCAUGCCUUACACAUGCAAGUCGAACGGCAGCACGGGUGCUUGCACCUGGUGGCGAGUGGCGAACGGGUGAGUAAUACAUCGGAACGUACCUUAUCGUGGGGGAUAACGCAGCGAAAGUUGCGCUAAUACCGCAUACGCCCUGAGGGGGAAAGCGGGGGACCGUAAGGCCUCGCGCGAUUAGAGCGGCCGAUGUCUGAUUAGCUUGUUGGUGAGGUAAAAGCUCACCAAGGCGAUGAUCAGUAGCUGGUCUGAGAGGACGAUCAGCCACACUGGGACUGAGACACGGCCCAGACUACUACGAGAGGCAGCAGUGGGGAAUUUUUGACAAUUGGGUCAACCCUGAUCCAGCCAUGCCGCGUGAGUGAAGAAGGCCUUCGGGUUGUAAAGCUCUUUUGUCAGGGAAGAAACAGCAGCUCUAACACAGUCUGCGAAUUACGGUAUCUGAAGAAUAAGCACCGGCUAACUACGUGCCAGCCGCCGCCGUAA